UAGUCCACGCCGUAAACGAUGAAUACUAGGUGCAUGCAGAUACGUCUGUGUGUGUCGCAGCUAACGCAUUAAGUAUUCCGCCUGGGAAGUACGGUCGCAAGACUAAAACUCAAAGGAAUUGACGGGGCCCGCACAAGCGGUGGAGCAUGUGGUUUAAUUCGAUGCAACGCGAAGAACCUUACCUGGAUUUGACAUCCUGUGCCAACUCUAGAGAUAGAGCGUUCUCUUCGGAGACACAGUGACAGGUGCUGCAUGGCUGUCGUCAGCUCGUGUCGUGAGAUGUUGGGUUAAGUCCCGCAACGAGCGCAACCCUUAUCCUUAGUUGCCAGCAGGUUAUGCUGGGCACUCUAGGGAGACUGCCGGUGAUAAGCCGGAGGAAGGUGGGGGAUGACGUCAAGUCCUCAUGGGGCCUUUAUAUCCAGGGCUACACACGUGCUACAAUGGGAGUGACAAAGGGCAGCAAGACCGCGAGGUGGAGCAAA
This 482-nucleotide ribosomal RNA is filed under the name uncultured bacterium. RNAcentral's name for it is "bacterial SSU rRNA". It matches the Rfam family "Bacterial small subunit ribosomal RNA", at positions 791 to 1271 of the family's 1533-position model. The record is from RNAcentral.